UGGGGAAUUUUGGACAAUGGGGGAAACCCUGAUCCAGCCAUCCCGCGUGUGCGAUGAGGGCCUUCGGGUUGUAAAGCACUUUUGGCAGGAAAGAAACGGCGUGUGCUAAUACCAUGCGCAACUGACGGUACCUGCAGAAUAAGCACCGGCUAACUACGUGCCAGCAGCCGCGGUAAUACGUAGGGUGCAAGCGUUAAUCGGAAUUACUGGGCGUAAAGCGUGCGCAGGCGGUUCGGAAAGAAAGAUGUGAAAUCCCAGGGCUCAACCUUGGAACUGCAUUUUUAACUACCGGACUAGAGUAUGUCAGAGGGAGGUGGAAUUCCACGUGUAGCAGUGAAAUGCGUAGAUAUGUGGAGGAACACCGAUGGCGAAGGCAGCCUCCUGGGAUAAUACUGACGCUCAUGCACGAAAGCGUGGGGAGCAAACAG
RNAcentral lists this ribosomal RNA (428 nucleotides) under uncultured bacterium. Its description in RNAcentral is "bacterial SSU rRNA". It matches the Rfam family "Bacterial small subunit ribosomal RNA", at positions 355 to 775 of the family's 1533-position model. The record is from RNAcentral.